This 301-nucleotide ribosomal RNA is filed under the name uncultured bacterium. Its description in RNAcentral is "partial 16S ribosomal RNA". It matches the Rfam family "Bacterial small subunit ribosomal RNA", at positions 509 to 807 of the family's 1533-position model. The record is from RNAcentral.
CAGUCGCCGCGGUAAUACGUAGGGUGCGAGCGUUAAUCGGAAUUACUGGGCGUAAAGCGUGCGCAGGCGGUUCGUUAAGACAGAUGUGAAAUCCCCGGGCUUAACCUGGGAAUGGCAAUGGAUACUGGCAAGCUAGAGUGUGUCAGAGGAUAGUGGAAUUUCCGGUGUAGCAGUGAAAUGCGUAGAGAUUGGAAGGAACAUCUGUGGCGAAGGCGACUAUCUGGGCCAACACUGACACUGAGGCACGAAAGCGUGGGGAGCAAACAGGAUUAGAUACCCCGGUAGUCCCUGUCUCUUAUAC